This 232-nucleotide ribosomal RNA is filed under the name uncultured bacterium. RNAcentral describes it as "partial 16S ribosomal RNA". It matches the Rfam family "Bacterial small subunit ribosomal RNA", at positions 99 to 334 of the family's 1533-position model. The record is from RNAcentral.
CGGACGGGUGAGUAAUGUCUGGGAAACUGCCCGAUGGAGGGGGAUAACUACUGGAAACGGUGGCUAAUACCGCAUAACGUCGCAAGACCAAAGAGGGGGACCUUCGGGCCUCUUGCCAUCGGAUGUGCCCAGAUGGGAUUAGCUAGUAGGUGGGGUAAUGGCUCACCUAGGCGACGAUCCCUAGCUGGUCUGAGAGGAUGACCAGCCACACUGGAACUGAGACACGGUCCAG